This 802-nucleotide ribosomal RNA is filed under the name Metoecus paradoxus. RNAcentral describes it as "partial 16S ribosomal RNA". The stretch from base 1 to 585 matches the Rfam family "Bacterial large subunit ribosomal RNA", at positions 1845 to 2925 of the family's 2925-position model. The record is from RNAcentral. Lineage: Eukaryota; Metazoa; Arthropoda; Insecta; Coleoptera; Ripiphoridae.
AUUUAAAGUCUAGCCUGCCCAAUGAUUGUAGUAUUUAAUGGCUGCAGUAUUUUGACUGUACAAAGGUAGCAUGAUCAUUAGUUUUUUAAUUGGAAACUGGUAUGAAUGGCUGGAUGAAAAAAUGACUGUCUCAAUAUAAUUUAUUUUUGAAUUUUAUUUUUAAGUAAAAAAGCUUAAAUUUUUUAAAAAGACGAGAAGACCCUUUAGAGUUUUAUAUAUAAUUUAUAUAUUUUAAUUUAGUAUUUUGUUUUUAUGUUUAUGUAUAUUUUGUUGGGGUGACAUUAAAAUUUAAUUAACUUUUAUAAUUUUUUAUCAUUAAUUUAUGUUUAUUUGAUCCUAUAUUUUAGAUUAAAAGAAAAAAUUACCUUAGGGAUAACAGCGUAAUUUUUCUUCAGAGUUCAAAUCGAAAGAAGAGAUUGCGACCUCGAUGUUGGAUUAAAAUUUAUAUUUGGUGUAACAGUUAGAUAAUUAGGUCUGUUCGACCUUUAAAAUUUUACAUGAUCUGAGUUUAAACCGGCGUGAGCCAGGUUGGUUUCUAUCUUUUAAUAAAUUUUAUAAUGUUUUAGUACGAAAGGACCAGGCAUUAAAAUAACUUAUAAUUUAGAAUUGUGAUUAAAAAUAAUUUAUUUAUAUUAAUUUGGCAGAAUAGUGCAAUAGAUUUAGAAUCUUUAUAUGUGAAAUUUAAGUUUACACAAUUAAUAUUGUUUAUAAAAGAUUUAAUUUUAAUUAUUAUUUCUAUAUUAAUUUUAGUUAUUUCGGUAUUAAUUGGAGUGGCUUUUUUAACUUUGUUGGAACGGAAGUU